RNAcentral lists this ribosomal RNA (164 nucleotides) under Gaeumannomyces graminis. RNAcentral describes it as "5.8S ribosomal RNA". It matches the Rfam family "5.8S ribosomal RNA". From Rfam's summary of the family: 5.8S ribosomal RNA (5.8S rRNA) is a component of the large subunit of the eukaryotic ribosome. It is transcribed by RNA polymerase I as part of the 45S precursor that also contains 18S and 28S rRNA. Lineage: Eukaryota; Fungi; Ascomycota; Sordariomycetes; Magnaporthales; Magnaporthaceae. The record is from RNAcentral.
UAAUUAAAACUUUCAACAACGGAUCUCUUGGUUCUGGCAUCGAUGAAGAACGCAGCGAAAUGCGAUAAGUAAUGUGAAUUGCAGAAUUCAGUGAAUCAUCGAAUCUUUGAACGCACAUUGCGCCCGCCGGUAUUCCGGCGGGCAUGCCUGUCCGAGCGUCAUUU